GCUCCGGUAGUUCAGUGGAUAGAGCACUCGUUUCCUAAACAAGUUGUCGGAGGUUCAAAUCCUUCCCGGAGCACCA
RNAcentral lists this transfer RNA (76 nucleotides) under Mycoplasmataceae bacterium RV_VA103A. RNAcentral describes it as "tRNA-Arg". It matches the Rfam family "tRNA". Rfam says of the family: Transfer RNA (tRNA) molecules are approximately 80 nucleotides in length. Lineage: Bacteria; Bacillati; Mycoplasmatota; Mollicutes; Mycoplasmatales; Mycoplasmataceae. The record is from RNAcentral.